UCAAUAAGCUACAUUAUCUGGGGAAGGAAAAAAGCAUUUUCUCUAAUGACAGCCAUUCAAAAUGAGCUAUGUAAUCUGAUGAAAUACAGUUCCAAGGUCUGAGAAAUGCUAGAUGUUUUGAUUUUUCAACAUCAACUGUUCAACUUAUUUCAAUUACACAAUGAAGAUUUUAAACCCGGAGGACAACAUGGGACAAACAGCAUAUAAAAUAAAAGCAAAGAAAGCUGGGAAGGCAUAUUGAACAGCAGUGGAAAAGGAGGUGUUUACAAGGCUCCCCAAAUGUAAAGAGAAAUUUUAAUGUUUUUGAUUGUUCUUCCAUUUUCAAGUUUUUUUUUUUUUUUUUUUUUUUAAUGAAAGCUAUGUGACAUAAAGUUGUUGGAUUUAACUUUUUUGUUUCCUUACAUUCCCCCCCCCCCCCCCCCCCCCCCCAUAUUUGUGUUUAAGGUAGUGAAAUAUAGUCUAUCGUGCAGCAGAGGGCAGAGUGAUGCAGAGAAUUGUUGUUGAAUGAAAAGCAGCACUGACCUAGGUAAUGAUUUUACCCUGUUUGUGUCAUUAAACAGCCUUAUAUGCUGACAUAAACAAAGACACUGGUCAAGGGGUCAAGGUUUGGCUGGUUAACAUGUCUCUGUUAGCUCCUGCAGUUAGAUGUUCUAAGUACAUGAUCUGGGGGCAAAAAACAAAUGUCUUUCUCAAGCAAGAUUCUUUGUAAACCACACACACACAAACACACACACACACACACACACACACACACACACAUAUACACAUGUAGCGUAAGCAUUUUGAACUGCAAGAGUUUUACACUUUCUUCAUACGUUGAAUACGGAAGGCGGUCUGGCGGAAGCUAGAUAUUUUACUUCAUAACUUGUUAAAUAUGGAUAUUUUUUUUACACAAACGCAUCGCUUCACUUCAGAAGGCCUUUAUUAACCCCCCGGAGCCGUGUGGAGUAUGUUUAUGAUGGAUGGAUGCACUUUCUUUAGCUCAUACUCGUUGGUAUCGUUCACUGCCAUUAUAAAGCUCGGAUGCGUCAGGAUAUUUAUUAAUAAGCCGUACACACCUAGGAUGACUUGAGGGUUGAACCCAAGGAGAUCUACAAUACCUGGAGAGAGCUGUCAGUUAGCAUUCCCAUUGAUCUUCUGCAUUUCUCGGCAGGAUUCUCUGCCGUCGUUGCUCCUGGGCUCAGUCCUGGAUACAGAACAGACCUGUGAGCCAUUUUUGGGUUGUGACCCUCCAGAGAACCACCGCUCUCCACCACAAGUGUCGGAACGGUUAGGAUUUAGCAGAAGAUCUCUGAAAACAACAAAGUGAGAAAUGUGUCCUUCAUAAGGUCUUUUACUCACACAGAGCUACAGCUUGAGAAGACUUGGAAUACAGUGCACAAGUUAUAUACUUGUUUCGUUUUUUUUUUUUUUUUAUAGCUAUUUUCACAACUUGGCAGUCACCAUUUAUGAAGUACAUUUUGACAGAAUUAAAACUUUCCUCUGAAUGGUUUCUUUAGCUGUGCAUUGUGCAAUAGAAGCAUUCCAUUAAACAUAGAGUUUUAAUUUUAAACACAUUCAGCUGGUGUAAUGUAGAAGUAAAAAACAUGCUCAGACAGAUUGGGGAGGGAGGGAGUCGGGUUACAGUGUGUAAAUUUGUCUGCCAUUAAGUAGGCGUGCAGCGCAAGUGCGGCUCAGGCGAGAUUAAACCAGAUUUAGGGGACUGCAGCACCUCUCAUGUGGGUCAUUUGCCAAGUGAAGCUGCCCUACAGACAUGUGUCAGAAAUCAAACAGUGUUAGACUACAUUAAUGGAUUUCACAGUAGUCUAUACAAAUCUGUCAAUAAUCUUUAUAGGAUUAGUUCACUCCAAAAUGAAAAUUUUACAUUCCAAAACUGUUUGACUGUUUCUAUUUUCAUGUAAAAGUUCUGAAUAAUGUUCGCUCUUUUUCAUGCAAACGAAGCAGAAGCAACAUAAAAGUGGUCCAAUUGGUGUGAUAUACAUUUAUAUUCAAGUCAUAUAUUACUGUAGUUUUGUGUGUGGAACUGACUGAAAUUUUUACUAAAAACAUGUCGUAUUUACUAAAGACAUGCCGUAAAAAAAUUA
Molecule: long non-coding RNA, 2084 nt
Organism: Ctenopharyngodon idella (grass carp)
Lineage: Eukaryota; Metazoa; Chordata; Actinopteri; Cypriniformes; Xenocyprididae
Exons: 4
Source: RefSeq, a predicted model, not a curated record